Molecule: ribosomal RNA, 445 nt
Filed under: uncultured bacterium
Lineage: Bacteria
Description: partial 16S ribosomal RNA
Rfam family: Bacterial small subunit ribosomal RNA
Source: RNAcentral
GUAAGGAAUAUUGGUCAAUGGACGAAAGUCUGAACCAGCCAUGCCGCGUGGAGGAUGAAGGUCCUCUGGAUUGUAAACUUCUUUUAUCUGGGACGAAAAAAGGUCUUUCUAGAUCGUCUGACGGUACCAGAUGAAUAAGCACCGGCUAACUCCGUGCCAGCAGCCGCGGUAAUACGGAGGGUGCAAGCGUUAUCCGGAUUCACUGGGUUUAAAGGGUGAGUAGGUGGGUUGGUAAGUCAGUGGUGAAAUCUUCGAGCUUAACUCGGAAACUGCCAGUGAUACUAUCAGUCUUGAAUAUUGUGGAGGUUAGCGGAAUAUGUCAUGUAGCGGUGAAAUGCUUAGAUAUGACAUAGAACACCAAUUGCGAAGGCAGCUGGCUACACAUAUAUUGACACUGAGGCACGAAAGCGUGGGGAUCAAACAGGAUUAGAAACCCCAGUAGUCC